RNAcentral lists this ribosomal RNA (451 nucleotides) under uncultured bacterium. RNAcentral's name for it is "partial 16S ribosomal RNA". It matches the Rfam family "Bacterial small subunit ribosomal RNA", at positions 354 to 796 of the family's 1533-position model. The record is from RNAcentral.
GUGGGGAAUAUUGGACAAUGGGCGCAAGCCUGAUCCAGCCAUGCCGCGUGUGUGAAGAAGGCCUUUUGGUUGUAAAGCACUUUAAGCGAGGAGGAGGCUCCUUUAGUUAAUACCUAAAGAGAGUGGACGUUACUCGCAGAAUAAGCACCGGCUAACUCUGUGCCAGCAGCCGCGGUAAUACAGAGGGUGCGAGCGUUAAUCGGAUUUACUGGGCGUAAAGCGUGCGUAGGCGGCUUUUUAAGUCGGAUGUGAAAUCCCUGAGCUUAACUUAGGAAUUGCAUUCGAUACUGGAGAGCUAGAGUAUGGGAGAGGAUGGUAGAAUUCCAGGUGUAGCGGUGAAAUGCGUAGAGAUCUGGAGGAAUACCGAUGGCGAAGGCAGCCAUCUGGCCUAAUACUGACGCUGAGGUACGAAAGCAUGGGGAGCAAACAGGAUUAGAAACCCCAGUAGUCC